RNAcentral lists this small RNA (122 nucleotides) under Marmota monax (woodchuck). The record is from RNAcentral. Lineage: Eukaryota; Metazoa; Chordata; Mammalia; Rodentia; Sciuridae.
GCAGGGCGCGGUGGCGCAUGCCUGUAAUCCCAGUGGCUUGGGAGGCUGAGGCAGGAGGAUUGUGAGUUCAAACCCAGCCUCAGCAAUAGCAAGGCUAAGCAAUCCAGCAAACCCUGUCUCUA